UUGGAAGUAAAAAGUCGUAACAAGGUUUCCGUAGGUGAACCUGCGGAAGGAUCAUUACCGAGUUGAUUCGGGCUCCGGCCCGAUCCUCCCACCCUUUGUGUACCUACCUCUGUUGCUUUGGCGGGCCGCGGUCCUCCGCGGCCGCCCCCCCCUCCCGGGGGGGUGGCCAGCGCCCGCCAGAGGACCAUCAAACUCCAGUCAGUAAACGAUGCAGUCUGAAAAACAUUUAAUAAACUAAAACUUUCAACAACGGAUCUCUUGGUUCUGGCAUCGAUGAAGAACGCAGCGAAAUGCGAUAAGUAAUGUGAAUUGCAGAAUUCAGUGAAUCAUCGAAUCUUUGAACGCACAUUGCGCCCUUUGGUAUUCCGAAGGGCAUGCCUGUUCGAGCGUCAUUACAACCCUCAAGCUCUGCUUGGUAUUGGGCACCGUCCUUUGCGGGCGCGCCUCAAAGACCUCGGCGGUGGCGUCUUGCCUCAAGCGUAGUAGAACAUACAUCUCGCUUCGGAGCGCAGGGCGUCGCCCGCCGGACGAACCUUCUGAACUUUCUAGAAGGAGACCGGAGGCUGCAGGAAAGAUGUACGAC
RNAcentral lists this ribosomal RNA (583 nucleotides) under fungal endophyte sp. O9-3171. RNAcentral's name for it is "eukaryotic LSU rRNA". The stretch from base 239 to 392 matches the Rfam family "5.8S ribosomal RNA". Lineage: Eukaryota; Fungi. The record is from RNAcentral.